RNAcentral lists this long non-coding RNA (273 nucleotides) under Mytilus galloprovincialis (Mediterranean mussel). Lineage: Eukaryota; Metazoa; Mollusca; Bivalvia; Mytilida; Mytilidae. The record is from RNAcentral.
GAGAUAUAAGCCAAAAACUGCAUUUGAUCCCUAUGUUCUAUUUUAAGUAACAGCGGCCAUGUUUUUUGACGGAUCAAAAAUCGAAGCACAAACUUUGUGCAAGAUAAUCUAAGGAACAAUCAUGCUAAGUUUCAUCCAAAUCCAUUCAGUAGUUUCAGAGGAGAAGAUGUUUGAAAAAUUGUUAACGACGACAGACGACGAUGACGGACGCCAAGUGAUGAGAAAAGCUCACAUUUCCUUUUAGGAAAGGUGAGCUAAAAAAAGGGGUGGGGG